CCUACGGGUGACUGCAGUGGGGAAUAUUGGACAAUGGCGGAAACCCUGAUCCAGCGACGUCGCGUGAGUGAAGAAGUAUUUCUGUACGUAAAGCUCUAUCAGCAGGAAAGAAAAUGACGGUACCUGACUAAGAUGCCCCGGCUAACUACGUGCCAGCAGCCGCGGUAAUACGGAGGGGGCAAGCGUUAUCCGGAUUUACUGGGUGUAAAGGGAGCGUAGACGGCAGCGCAAGUCUGGAGUGAAAGGCCGGGGCCCAACCCCGGAACUGCUCUGGAAACUGUGGAGCUGGAGUGCAGGAGAGGUAAGCGGAAUUCCUGGUGUAGCGGUGAAAUGCGUAGAUAUCAGGAAGAACACCGGCGGCGAAGGCAGCUUACUGGACUGUAACUGACGUUGAGGCUCGAAGGCGUGGGGAGCAAACAGGAUUAGAUACCCUUGUAGUC
Molecule: ribosomal RNA, 440 nt
Filed under: uncultured bacterium
Lineage: Bacteria
Description: partial 16S ribosomal RNA
Rfam family: Bacterial small subunit ribosomal RNA
Source: RNAcentral